AACGAACGCUGGCGGCAUGCCUAACACAUGCAAGUCGAACGAGACCUUCGGGUCUAGUGGCGCACGGGUGCGUAACGCGUGGGAACCUGCCCUUAGGUUCGGAAUAACUCCCCGAAAGGGGUGCUAAUACCGGAUAAUGUCUUCGGACCAAAGAUUUAUCGCCUUUGGAUGGGCCCGCGUUGGAUUAGCUAGUUGGUAGGGUAAAAGCCUACCAAGGCGACGAUCCAUAGCUGGUCUGAGAGGAUGAUCAGCCACACUGGGACUGAGACACGGCCCAGACUCAUCGGGGGAGAAGCAGGGGGGAAUAUGGAAAAAGGGGGAAAGGCUGAACCAGCCAUGCCCGGGGGAGUAUUAAGGCCUUUGGGUUUGAAAAGCUUUUUUCCCGGGAAGAAAAAGGAAAGACCGGGGAAAAAAGGCCCGGCAUACCCCCGUG
RNAcentral lists this ribosomal RNA (433 nucleotides) under uncultured bacterium. Its description in RNAcentral is "partial 16S ribosomal RNA". It matches the Rfam family "Bacterial small subunit ribosomal RNA", at positions 29 to 507 of the family's 1533-position model. The record is from RNAcentral.